UCUUCUAACCCAUAGAUGGAUCCCAUCUACUCAUCCACACCUGCACGCCCGAUCUAGGAUCUCCGAUGCUCUUCCUCUCCUCAAGGGGCGUGGCGGCCGCCCUUUCCCUGCGGGUCGAGCGGGAAUACAACAUUCCCUCUUCUUCACCGCGCCAACGACCGCCACGACCGUGGUGCACGGAGACGCGCCGCUGGCCACCGCAACGUGGUGCGCACUAAGAUGCGCCGCUCGGAAGCGGCCAUAGUGCACACGGAGAUGCGUGAGCCCCUGUUUGGAGGGACUGCCAAGAGCGCGGCUACAGCGAGCGAGCGCCUUGGCAGCAUCGGCCCUCCCGCUGCUGUACUCCCCCCAUCUGACUUGCAUCUGCUGGCAACCGGAGGGUACGACAACGGUGUGGACGCCCUCAACAACGGGAAUGCUGCACGGGAAAAGUGGCGAAGGGGAGAAAAGGACCGCUUCCUCUGCUGCAGGUCACCGGAGCUCAUCCUCUGCAGGUCACGGGAGGCGCGGUGGCGCCAUUACUUCACUGCCCGUCAUAGCGACUUCUCUCCACAGGGAAUGCAGAGUGCAAUACAAAGGUUCAGCACCACUCUGCCGCGCGCUGGUGGUGACCGACCUGCACUGUGUCCCUUGCAUCAUCUACAAACCACUUUAAUUACGCUAUACUUAUUCGCGUGUCAUGCUAUAUGAACAUGCACUGCGGUUGUGAUUGUUAUGCUGGGAGCGAUGUUCCUCAUGGUCCCAGUAAUGCUGCUAGUAUGGAAGAGGCACUAGAUCCUUGUUGUCACAUUCCUUGAGCUCUCGUUGAUGGAGGAUAAAUGGAACAAGUGAUCAUCUAGUGGAGACAAAGAGUAUAUUGUUGUCCAUCACAACCCGCCAAGACAUAUGGUUGCCAUCAGGAGGGUUGACGACAAGAACACGAGUGACAACCUUAGUAGUUUAUAUGUGUUAUUCAUGUAAACUGGAUUGUACCGGUUCCUAAUCCUUGUUGUGUGAUAUAUGUUGUAUAUUAUCAUUUCAUGGAGGAUAUUCUAAACUGCUAGGUUUUAGAUACCAAUGGAUGGUUGCAUAUUAAGUGAUUUUGUC
This is an RNA transcript of Triticum dicoccoides, 1086 nucleotides long. RefSeq lists it as uncharacterized. NCBI's taxonomy places the organism in Eukaryota, Viridiplantae, Streptophyta, Magnoliopsida, Poales, Poaceae. The transcript is spliced from 4 exons. The record is from RefSeq and is a predicted model, not a curated record.